Long non-coding RNA from Scophthalmus maximus (turbot), 1758 nucleotides. RefSeq lists it as uncharacterized. The record is from RefSeq and is a predicted model, not a curated record. NCBI's taxonomy places the organism in Eukaryota, Metazoa, Chordata, Actinopteri, Pleuronectiformes, Scophthalmidae. The transcript is spliced from 5 exons.
UUUGUAGGGCCAUUUCCUGGCAAGGCAGGAAAUUGUUCCCUGAGAGUGGGUAACUUGAACGAGGGAGAAGUCCGAAAAGGAAAAGUGUGAAAACGGGAUUUAUAGGACGAUAUUGUGUUAUUCUUUCACACAAAUAAGCGCCUAGCUGGAACGGGAACAAGCUCUUCCGGUGUUUUCGUACGGAGGAUAUGAAGGAGAGGAAAGUGUUUCUGUUCAAAUGAAGGCUCACGGCUGAACAUGAAAAUAAAGGACACUAAGAAACCUCAGACAGACAGACAGGUCUACACCUCCACUGCUUCAUCAAGUGUACAGCAGGAGGGUGAAAUCCAUCAGACAGACAGGUCUACACCUCCACUGCUUCAUCAAGUGUACAGCAGGAGGGUGAAAUCAGCUUUAGAUCAGUCUGUAGAUGUGAUUUAAGCUAUAAUGAGCUAUAGUCCACCCUUCUUUCAUACAUGGCAGAAUGGAACCACCACCACCAUCACCACCACCAUCACCCCACCAUCAGCACCUCCGCCUCCUCCACACCACUCGUGAGUAAGCUGUUCAUGACCUAGAAAACAGCUAAUUUCUAAUGUCAUUUAUGUGUAUAUAGUAAAAUGUAGGAAUAUAUCUCACUUAUUUGGGGAAUGUCAGCAUCUGCACUUACAUUCCCCAAAUGAGUGAGUUGUGAAUGAAAGUCAAAAGAUACGGCUCCAGAGACUAAGUCAAUAAUUUAAUUAUUUCCAAUUAGUUAGGUGAGCAUUUUUUGCACAAUUAAUACAAACACAAUCAAGCACGCCAUAAUCUAUAUUUAGGCAAAUGAUGUAUCUGAUGAUGUAUAUUUGGCCGCCCCCCGGAGCUCACGGGAGGCCCCCCCAGGGGCCAUCGGCUCGGCCCACGACCCGCUGCCCGGGAGUCCGGGGAGAGAGAAAAAGAAAACCGGCAAAGUACGAGCUCCGGCCAUCGCCGCACGCCCAGUCACGGAGCACCGCAGCCCGGGCCGGGCCGUCGGAGGCCGUCGGCUCAGCCCACGACCGGCUGCCCGGGAGUCCGGGGCCACAUUGGCUCUGGGAGGAACCAAACCAUCGUCACGCAGCAAAGAAACCUACAUACAGGCACUAUCUGCUUUGCCCAUUUUGUCUUAAAACACAAGAGACCCUGUCAUGCCAUCUGCGGAGGGCAUGCUUGAAGAACAGGACUGAAGCAGCCAUCGAAGCCGUGGUUGAAAAGGCCAAGUUGGACGUUGUGGACCUCCUGAAGAAUGGCAGGGCUUUUAGUUAUGCAGUUAUUAAAUUAUGGCAGAUGCAAAUCCAAUCCAAAGGUUGGUGGCUUCUGCAAUACUUCUUGUUCAAUCCUCGGUGACCUCUCUGAGGCAAAAAUGAAAAAGAGAACACAGCAGAACUACCUCAAGAGCUUGAAACAAUUCUCGGUUUUCCUCACUGUCCAAACCAACCUGAGAAAUGAGGAUUUGCCACUCCAUAAAGAGUGCCAGUACUUCAUUGCCUUCAAUGAUUCUUUGCAGCACAUCCUUGCCAAGCACUCAAAGAAAGAGAUCACCCAAAAGAGGCACAGCAUGUUGAUUGACGUGUUGUCAACAAAAAACUGCUUGGUUGUACUGGAGGCUGCCAAGAAGGAAUUCUUGGCAGUUAUAGGUAAACUGUCUGACAGUAGUUCUGACACCCUGGAGUCUGUCCAGAACAUAUUUGUGGUGUACUACCUCGAGGCUGUAGUACAUCUACAAACUCCAACGACCGGGCGUGGUGGAGCACAUGACUG